AGUGAACGCUGGCGGUAGGCCUAACACAUGCAAGUCGAACGGCAGCACAGUAAGAGCUUGCUCUUACGGGUGGCGAGUGGCGGACGGGUGAGGAAUACAUCGGAAUCUACUUUUUCGUGGGGGAUAACGUAGGGAAACUUACGCUAAUACCGCGUACGACCUACGGGUGAAAGCAGGGGAUCUUCGGACCUUGCGCGAUUGAAUGAGCCGAUGUCGGAUUAGCUAGUUGGCGGGGUAAAGGCCCACCAAGGCGACGAUCCGUAGCUGGUCUGAGAGGAUGAUCAGCCACACUGGAACUGAGACACGGUCCAGCCUCCUACGGGAGGCAGAAGUGGGGAAUAUUGGACAAUGGGCGCAAGCCUGAUCCAGCCAUACCGCGUGGGUGAAGAAGGCCUUCGGGUUGUAAAGCCCUUUUGUUGGGAAAGAAAAGCAGCAGGUUAAUACCCCGCUGUUCUGACGGUACCCAAAGAAUAAGCACCGGCUAACUUCGUG
Molecule: ribosomal RNA, 492 nt
Filed under: uncultured bacterium
Lineage: Bacteria
Description: partial 16S ribosomal RNA
Rfam family: Bacterial small subunit ribosomal RNA
Source: RNAcentral